This 547-nucleotide ribosomal RNA is filed under the name uncultured bacterium. RNAcentral describes it as "bacterial SSU rRNA". It matches the Rfam family "Bacterial small subunit ribosomal RNA", at positions 355 to 896 of the family's 1533-position model. The record is from RNAcentral.
UGGGGAAUAUUGCGCAAUGGGGGGAACCCUGACGCAGCCAUGCCGCGUGAAUGAAGAAGGCCUUAGGGUUGUAAAGUUCUUUCGGUAUUGAGGAAGGUUGAUGUGUUAAUAGCACAUCAAAUUGACGUUAAAUACAGAAGAAGCACCGGCUAACUCCGUGCCAGCAGCCGCGGUAAUACGGAGGGUGCGAGCGUUAAUCGGAAUAACUGGGCGUAAAGGGCACGCAGGCGGUUAUUUAAGUGAGGUGUGAAAGCCCUGGGCUUAACCUAGGAAUUGCAUUUCAGACUGGGUAACUAGAGUACUUUAGGGAGGGGUAGAAUUCCACGUGUAGCGGUGAAAUGCGUAGAGAUGUGGAGGAAUACCGAAGGCGAAGGCAGCCCCUUGGGAAUGUACUGACGCUCAUGUGCGAAAGCGUGGGGAGCAAACAGGAUUAGAUACCCUGGUAGUCCACGCUGUAAACGCUGUCGAUUUGGGGGGUGGGGUUUAACUCUGGCGCCCGUAGCUAACGUGAUAAAUCGACCGCCUGGGGAGUACGGCCGCAAGGUUA